GAUGAACGCUGGCGGCGUGCUUAACACAUGCAAGUCGAACGGAAAGGCCACAGCUUGCUGUGGUACUCGAGUGGCGAACGGGUGAGUAACACGUGGGUGAUCUGCCCUGUACUUCGGGAUAAGCUUGGGAAACUGGGUCUAAUACCGGAUAGGAAUCACAUGUGGGUGUGUGGUUGGAAAGCUUUUGCGGUAUGGGAUGAGCUCGCGGCCUAUCAGCUUGUUGGUGGGGUAAUGGCCUACCAAGGCGUCGACGGGUAGCCGGCCUGAGAGGGUGUACGGCCACAUUGGGACUGAGAUACGGCCCAGACUCCUACGGGAGGCAGCAGUGGGGAAUAUUGCACAAUGGGCGCAAGCCUGAUGCAGCGACGCCGCGUGGGGGAUGACGGCCUUCGGGUUGUAAACUCCCUUCGUCAGGGACGAAGCGAAAGUGACGGUACCUGGAGAAGAAGCACCGGCUAACUACGUG
This 466-nucleotide ribosomal RNA is filed under the name uncultured bacterium. RNAcentral's name for it is "partial 16S ribosomal RNA". It matches the Rfam family "Bacterial small subunit ribosomal RNA", at positions 28 to 507 of the family's 1533-position model. The record is from RNAcentral.